This 395-nucleotide ribosomal RNA is filed under the name uncultured bacterium. RNAcentral describes it as "partial 16S ribosomal RNA". It matches the Rfam family "Bacterial small subunit ribosomal RNA", at positions 523 to 918 of the family's 1533-position model. The record is from RNAcentral.
AUACGUAGGGUGCAAGCGUUAAUCGGAAUUACUGGGCGUAAAGCGUGCGCAGGCGGUUUUGUAAGACAGAGGUGAAAUCCCCGGGCUCAACCUGGGAACUGCCUUUGUGACUGCAAGGCUAGAGUACGGCAGAGGGGGAUGGAAUUCCGCGUGUAGCAGUGAAAUGCGUAGAUAUGCGGAGGAACACCGAUGGCGAAGGCAAUCCCCUGGGCCUGUACUGACGCUCAUGCACGAAAGCGUGGGGAGCAAACAGGAUUAGAUACCCUGGUAGUCCACGCCCUAAACGAUGUCAACUGGUUGUUGGGUCUUCAUUGACUCAGUAACGAAGCUAACGCGUGAAGUUGACCGCCCGGGGAGUACGGCCUCAAGGUUGAAACUCAAAUGAAUUGACGGGG